AUUGAACGCUAGCGGGAUGCUUUACACAUGCAAGUCGAACGGCAGCGCGGACUUCGGUCUGGCGGCGAGUGGCGAACGGGUGAGUAAUGUAUCGGAACGUGCCCAGUAGCGGGGGAUAACUACGCGAAAGCGUAGCUAAUACCGCAUACGCCCUACGGGGGAAAGCAGGGGAUCGUAAGACCUUGCACUAUUGGAGCGGCCGAUAUCGGAUUAGCUAGUAGGUGAGGUAACGGCUCACCAAGGCGACGAUCCGUAGCUGGUUUGAGAGGACGACCAGCCACACUGGGACUGAGACACGGCCCAGACUCCUACGGGAGGCAGCAGUGGGGAAUUUUGGACAAUGGGGGCAACCCUGAUCCAGCCAUCCCGCGUGUGCGAUGAAGGCCUUCGGGUUGUAAAGCACUUUUGGCAGGAAAGAAACGUCGCGGGCUAAUACCCCGUGGAACUGACGGUACCUGCAGAAUAAGCACCGGCUAACUACGUG
RNAcentral lists this ribosomal RNA (484 nucleotides) under uncultured bacterium. RNAcentral's name for it is "partial 16S ribosomal RNA". It matches the Rfam family "Bacterial small subunit ribosomal RNA", at positions 30 to 507 of the family's 1533-position model. The record is from RNAcentral.